This 555-nucleotide ribosomal RNA is filed under the name Pleosporales sp. E7010a. RNAcentral describes it as "eukaryotic LSU rRNA". The stretch from base 200 to 353 matches the Rfam family "5.8S ribosomal RNA". The record is from RNAcentral. Lineage: Eukaryota; Fungi; Ascomycota; Dothideomycetes; Pleosporales.
AGGAUCAUUACAUGAAGUCGGGAGAACGGAAGAUAGUCCCCCUGUAGCAAAAAUUACGGGGGGUAGUACUCCUGCCCCGUAAUAAUCGGGCCACCCUGUCUCUUGAGCACCGUUUGUUUCCUCGGCGGGCUUGCCCGCCAAUGGGGACCCCCCAAAACCUUUGUAAUGAGCAGUAACUGUCAUUAUCAGAAUAUAUCACAACUUUCAACAAUGGAUCUCUUGGCUCUGGCAUCGAUGAAGAACGCAGCGAAAUGCGAUAAGUAGUGUGAAUUGCAGAAUUCCGUGAAUCAUCGAAUCUUUGAACGCACAUUGCGCCCCUCGGUAUUCCGUGGGGCAUGCCUGUUCGAGCGUCAUUUACACCCUCAAGCUCUGCUUGGUGUUGGGCGUCUGUCCCGCCUCCCCGGCGCGGACUCGCCUUAAAGCGAUUGGCGGCUGGUACCGUGGCCUGGCGUGCAGCAGACUUGCGCUCCUCGCCCGCGGUUCGGCUCCCAGAAGCGAACUCAUAUCACUUUUGACCUCGAAUCAGGUAGGGAUACCCGCUGAACUUAAGCAUAU